CUCAUCCAUCCUAUAGAAGUAAAGGUGCAUAUUGGAUUUUGUUUUCUCAUAGCUUGUUGAGCCGUUUGUGGAGCUUAUAAAUCUCUUGGAUGUAUUUGGUCUUUCACUGUUCUGAACUGUUCGAAUUUUGUUGCAAGGUGGUUUAUGCCCAUUAACAUUGGAAUUUCCUUCCUCGUUGGUGGGGUUCUUGGAUGGAUUCUCGUAAAAGUAUUGAAACCGAUGAGUCACCUAGAGGGUCUGAUCAUUGCUGCUUGUUCAACAGGUAUUCUUAUCUAAAAGAAUAUGAUGACCCGGUUCCUUGGCAUCGUUGUUUCACAUGAAUUGAAAGACAAAUUGGUUUGUUAUUGUUUACUUAACUAAUUGCCGUCAGGAAACUUGGGAAAUCUACCCCUCAUUGUAAUCCCGGCGGUCUGUGAUGAGGGCGGUAGCCCGUUUGGAGACUGGAAUACUUGCCACUCCGCUGGACUCUCAUAUGCAUCUUUCUCGAUGGCGCUUGGUGGUUUCUACCUCUGGACUUACACUUACCAACUUAUCGGAACAUCGUCCAUGAAGUAUAAAGCGAUUCAAGCUGCCAAGGAGGCCUUGAAGGCACCUAACAUUGAUCCAAAUUCCGGUUCAGAAACACACCUUCUCAAGUAAAAAGAUGGAGAGCAACAAGCUAUUGUUAGUGUGCAGUGGACAAGGGCUAGUGAAGAUGCAGAAACACAAGCUGUGAGACUCAUUCUUUUCUUUCCCAUUCGACUUGUGGCGCAAGAAAAGUUAUAUUUUCGUUGCUCUAUUUGCAUGAGCAAUUGUAUUUCAGAUUUCACAUGGGGAUUCAGAUAAGACCAAUACAUCACUCUGGAAUAUAGUUAGAGUAACCUCUUCACCAAGUGCUGGAGGAGCUAAUGUCUCCUCCUACACUUGCUGCAAUAGUUGGAUUCAUUGUCGGGGCAAUCACAUUCUUGAAGAACCUCAUAAUCGGUGAGAACGCGCCCCUUCGUGUGAUACAGGACACUAUUCAACUAUUAGGGGAUGGGACUAUUCCUUGCAUCACACUUAUCUUAGGAGGCAACCUCACUCAAGGCAAGAUUUUCUUGACCCUCCAUUUUCUCUCAAACAGAAAUUUUGGAGUUUAUUGAUCGAUUGUUGUGUGUGAACAGGUUUACGCUCUUCGAGAAUCAGACCAUGGGCUAUCGCCGGGGUGAUUUGUGUUCGGUAUGUGAUACUUCCAGUGAUUGGCAUUGGAGUCGUGAAGGCUGCCGGUAAGCUUGGCCUUCGGGCAUCAGACCCAUUGUACCACUAUGUCUUGAUGGCUCAGUUCUCACUCCCACCAGCCAUGAAUAUUGGUAAGUGUAGCUAACUUCUUCAAAGAGAAAGGAAAAGGAAGAAAAAAAUAGAAGGUAGUCAGAUAAAAAGGUCUUGAAGUCAACUUUAUUAGUUUCAAGUCAAGAGGGCAUUUGAUUCGGUAUGUGAAGCAAUGCAGAUUUCUUGUACCUUUGUCCAAUUUUUCUGAAGUUGAAACACGUCUCAGCUAGUGACUCGCACUACUACAUAUUCAGUCGAGCAACAUAGACAGAAUCUUGAUUGUGAAAUGAGUAUUUAGAUUGAAUCUUGAUUUGGGAACAUACAGAUGGAGAGCUAAACAUAGGAGUGCAAGUGUAGUUCAACAAAGUAGAGCUAGUUCACUAGGAAUUUUCAUGCUACUGAUUUUCUCAAGAAAGCUGCUGAGAGUUUUGUGAAAUUUGCAGGGACAAUGACCCAGCUCUUUGAUGUGGGUCCAGAGGAGUGUUCAGUGCUCUUCCUCUGGACAUACUUGUUUGCAGCCAUAGCUCUCACUUUCUGGUCAACUGUGUACAUGUGGAUCUUGUCCUUAUAUUAUUUUCUCAGGCUAAUUGAGUCAGACUUGGACACAGCCAAUUUUGCCGGAACUUUGGGAAGCUGAGCUUGUAAUUCAUAUAAGAAUUAUAUAAACUUCAUAGUCAUGUACGCCAACAA
This is a long non-coding RNA of Syzygium oleosum, 1977 nucleotides long. RefSeq lists it as uncharacterized. NCBI's taxonomy places the organism in Eukaryota, Viridiplantae, Streptophyta, Magnoliopsida, Myrtales, Myrtaceae. The transcript is spliced from 4 exons. The record is from RefSeq and is a predicted model, not a curated record.